RNAcentral lists this unclassified non-coding RNA (4399 nucleotides) under Hevea brasiliensis (rubber tree). Lineage: Eukaryota; Viridiplantae; Streptophyta; Magnoliopsida; Malpighiales; Euphorbiaceae. The record is from RNAcentral.
AUCUCAUAGCUUCUCUUUCCCUCUUUAAAUAAUACUAUAAAAAUCCACAGCCGUUCUCUCUCUCUUCACUCGCUGCUUAUAUUCGAGUUUCGAGCUGAGAAUUGCGGUGUCUCCAUCCAUGGAGGAAUUCUUGAAACAAUGUCAGCAGUCCGGGGAUGCUGCGUACGCUGCGUUUCGGUCUCUGUUGGAGCGGUUGGAGGAUCCCAAGACUCGAGUGCAAGCUCGAAUCUUCCUCUCUGAUCUCCAUAAGCAUGUCACUGACUCCGAUCAGUGCCUCCAGAAGUACCAUUUCCGGAUCCAAGAUAUAUUCUUGGAACAAUAUGAAGGUUAUAAGGGGAGGAAGAAAUUGACAAUGAUGGUAAUUCCUAGCAUUUUUAUCCCUGAGGACUGGUCCUUCACUUUUUAUGAGGGACUGAAUAGACAUCCUGACUCAAUCUUCAAGGACAAGACAGUUGCUGAGCUUGGCUGUGGAAAUGGAUGGAUAUCCAUUGCUAUUGCUGAGAAGUGGCUGCCUUCAAAGGUGUAUGGCCUCGAUAUUAAUCCUAGAGCAGUAAAGGUAUCCUGGAUAAACUUAUAUUUAAAUGCUUUGGAUGAAAAUGGUCAAAUCAUCCAUGACGCAGAGAAGAAAACUUUACUGGAUAGGGUGGAGUUUUAUGAAUCUGAUCUACUUGCUUAUUGUAGAGAUCAUGACAUUCAACUUGAAAGAAUUGUUGGAUGCAUACCACAGAUUCUUAACCCAAAUCCAGAUGCAAUGUCUAAAAUGAUUACAGAAAAUGCAAGUGAAGAAUUUCUGUAUUCAUUGAGUAACUACUGUGCACUUCAGGGAUUUGUUGAGGAUCAGUUUGGCCUAGGCCUAAUUGCUAGGGCUGUUGAGGAAGGAAUAUCUGUAAUCAAGCCUAUGGGGAUUAUGAUUUUUAAUAUGGGUGGUCGUCCAGGGCAAGCUGUUUGUAAACGCUUGUUUGAACGCCGUGGAUUUCGUGUUGACAAGCUUUGGCAGACUAAAGUUAUCCAGGCUGCUGACACAGAUAUCUCAGCCUUAGUUGAAAUUGAGAAGAACAGUCCACACAGGUUUGAGUUUUUCAUGGGUCUUUCUGGAGAUCAGCCGAUUUGUGCUCGAACAGCAUGGGCCUAUGGGAAGGCUGGUGGUCGCAUUGCUCAUGCUUUAUCAGUUUACAGUUGUCAACUUCGUCAUCCAAACCAUGUUAAGAAAAUAUUUGAGUUUCUUAAGGACGGCUUCCAUGAGGUCAGCAGUUCUUUAGAUUUGUCUUUUGAGGAUGAUUCUGUUGCCGAUGAGAAGAUCCCAUUCCUAGCUUAUCUUUCUGGUGAAUUGAAAGAGAGCUCAAGUUUCCCUUAUGAGUCACCAGCUGGCAGCAAACGUUUUCGUAAUCUAAUUGCAGACUUUAUGAAAAUAUAUCACCAUAUUCCACUCAAUUCCAAUGUAAGGAUCUGCUUAAUCAAUUAGUUGCUUAUGCUGUUGUGCUCUUGUUGUUAACAGAAUCAUCUGAAUGAGGCUUCUUCAUCCUCCUCUUUUUUCCUUAUAAUCAAUGUUAUAAUGCUUUCCAUUGUGGUCCAAAUCAUAGUGAAAAUUGUAAAUGCUUUGUACGUGGGUUCAGUUCAGUCCAAUCUCUUGUACUACUUUUCAGCAAAUUAUGUGGUUUUCACCUUUGUGCUAUAUCUGAAUGAAGAAAAAGUUAUUAUGUCAUUUAUAGUUUCUGGAAUAGUAGUGCUCUAUCCAAAAAUGACAUUCUAUUAACCACUCUUGGUUACUACAAGUCCACAACAUCUUUAUUUUCAAUGAUCUUUCCACAGCCUUUUUCUUUUUUAAUUUAUUUGAGUGGCUUUGACUUGUUUUAAAUGAAAAUAAUAUGGUGUACAAUUUUGCUAUCUAGACAUGUAAACUUUUCAUUUUAGAUAACACAUUCAUGAUUCUUGAUUUCAUGGCUAACUUACUAUCAUUUAAUUCAACUUGACCACUAAAUCUCUUGCAAAGUUGCAGUGUUGUAUGGAUUAUAACCGAUUUGCUUCUUGGGUACUUGACCUAUAUUUUUUAUUUUCAGAAUUAUGAUGCCUAUAAAAGAUGGUAUGAAAGUUAUUCCAGUGUUAUGCUUUUUUGGUUCUAAUGUUAUAUAAGCUACGUUGUUGACUUAAUUUUUUUGAUUCUUCUGCAAGAAUGUUGUCAUCUUUCCUUCAAGGGCUGUUGCAAUUGAAAAUUCUCUUCGAUUAUUCUCACCUCAUCUUGCAAUUGUUGAUGAACAUCUUACUCGACACCUACCUCGGCAAUGGUUAACAUCUUUAGCAAUUGAGGGUACAGAAAAUUAUGACCCAUCAAAGGAUGCAAUUACUGUCAUUGAAGCACCAAAACAGUCUGAUCUAAUGGUAGAGCUGAUAAAGAAACUCAAACCACAGGUGGUGAUUACUGGGAUGGCUCAAUUUGAGGCCGUGACUAGUUCAGCUUUUGUUCAGCUCUUAGAUAUUACUAGAGAAAUUGGAUCUCGUCUUUUCUUAGACAUAUCUGAUCAGCUUGAGCUAUCCAGCCUUCCAAGUCCCAAUGGAGUCCUAAAAUAUCUUGCAGGAACUCGGCUACCUUCGCAUGCUGCAAUCCUUUGUGGCCUAGUAAAGAACCAGGUUUAUUCAGAUUUAGAAGUAGCUUUUGUCAUUUCAGAAGAAGAGGCCAUUUUUAAGGCCUUGUCCAAGACUGUGGAAGUACUGGAAGGAAAUACUGCACCGAUCAGGCAGUUUUAUUAUGGUUGUCUGUUCCAUGAGCUUUUGGCUUUUAAGCUUACGGACCGACGUCCGCCUGCAGAGAGAGAAUGUGAAAAAGCCAAGUCAGUUGAGGCGAUUGGGUUUGCUAGUUCUGCUAUCUCAGUCCUCAAUGAUUCUGAGUUGUCAAUUAGUGAGGAAGAAAAGUCUUCCUUGAUUCACAUGGAUGUAGAUCAAAGUUUCUUGCCCAUUCCUUCUCCUGUCAAGGCUGCAAUCUUUGAAAGUUUUGCAAGACAGAACAUGGCUGAAUCGGAAAUUGAUGUCACUCCUAGCAUCAAGCAAUUCAUUAAGAGCAAUUAUGGAUUUCCAACUGACAACAGCACAGAGUUUGUAUAUACAGACUUCUCACAAGCCCUGUUUAAUAGACUGAUCCUCUGCUGCAUCCAAGAAGGUGGAACAUUCUGCUUCCCAGCUGGCUCAAAUGGGAACUAUGUAUCUGCUGCCAAAUUUCUGAAGGCAAACAUUAUGAGUAUCCCUACUGACUCUGCAUCAGGUUUCAAGUUGACAGAAAAGCUACUUGAUGGAGCACUUGAUACUGUGAGUAAGCCAUGGGUGUAUAUUUCUGGUCCUACAAUCAACCCUUCGGGGUUGCUUUACAGCAACAAAGAGAUGGAGAACAUAUUAACUGCUUGUGCAAAAUUUGGGGCACGAGUUGUCAUUGAUACUUCAUUCUCAGGGUUGGAAUUUGAUUUGGGAGGAUGGGGUGGCUGGGAUUUGGGGGCAACAUUAUCAAAGUUGACUUCCUCUGGCAACUCAUCUUUUAGUGUAUCUUUGCUUGGAGGACUGUCUCUUCAGAUCCUAAGUGGAGUACUCAAAUUUGGGUUUCUGGUUUUAAACCAUCCUUACCUGGUCAAUGCAUUUUAUAGCUUUCCAGGAUUAAGCAAACCUCAUAGCACUGUCAAAUAUGCUAUCAAGAAGUUGCUAGGUUUGAAUGAGCAGAAAGCAAAAGACCUGACAGAUGCUGUUGCAGAACAAACUAGAAAACUGAAAUCCAGAUCCCAGCGCAUGAAAGAGACACUAGAGAAAUGCGGGUGGGAGGUUCUCCAGCCUUGUGGUGGUGUUUCCAUGAUGGCAAAGCCUUCUGCCUACCUGAACAAGGUUGUGAAGAUCAAGCAUUCACCUGACGAUGAUGUGAAAAAUGCCACUGCUUACGAAGUCAAGCUUGGUGACUCGAAUAUCAGGGAAGCAAUUGUCAAGUCCACUGGUUUAUGUAUCAACAGCGGCUUAUGGACUGGAAUUCCUGGAUACUGCCGCUUCACAUUUGCUUUGGAAGAAAGCGACUUUGAGCGGGCAUUGAAUUGCAUAGCUAAAUUCAAGGAUCUUUUAAGUAACUAAAAUGACCUAUUAUAAUCAUAUGUUUUAUCUGAUUCCUUGGUAAAUAAAGUAAAUCUGCAAUCUAACUUACAGAACUCACAGCGAUCUAUACAAGUCAGCAUCAGCUGAGGUAUUUCUUUUAUCCUUCUAAAAUCAUACCAAUCCAUGUUUCUUACUUGAUUGUGUUUCAGUUCAAUGCCAAUUUCUGUAUGAACUGUCAAGUGGAUUUUAUUGGAAUCUUGUUCAAUACCCACUUUGUUUUCUGCCCAUUACACAAGGUGUACUUUCAUAACUUUGAUUGUCAUUUGUGAUUGUUCCGGAAAAG